Molecule: transfer RNA, 72 nt
Filed under: Bos taurus (domestic cattle)
Lineage: Eukaryota; Metazoa; Chordata; Mammalia; Artiodactyla; Bovidae
Also listed under: 5 other names
Rfam family: tRNA
About the family: Transfer RNA (tRNA) molecules are approximately 80 nucleotides in length. Their secondary structure includes four short double-helical elements and three loops (D, anti-codon, and T loops).
Source: Rfam by way of RNAcentral
UCCCUGGUGGCUCAGAAGGUAAAGAAUCUGCCUGCAGUGCAGGAGACCCAGGUUCAAUCCCUGGGUUGGGAA